Long non-coding RNA from Pimephales promelas (fathead minnow), 547 nucleotides. RefSeq lists it as uncharacterized. NCBI's taxonomy places the organism in Eukaryota, Metazoa, Chordata, Actinopteri, Cypriniformes, Leuciscidae. The record is from RefSeq and is a predicted model, not a curated record.
CUUUUAUAAUUCAUACAGUCUAUUUUUAAUUUCAGUGGAGUUUGGUGAUACUCCCUCAGCCUUCAACAGGUUGCGUACUGCUCUCUGAUGAUGAGAUCGUGCCGGCCCAUCCUGUGUUCACCAGCUGAGAUCCAGGAUGUGAUGGACCACAAAAGAUAAGGCUGAUCCAGGCUUCUUCUCCGACUCCCGAAAGUCCACGCAGCCACGGACGACAGAUGAAGCGCGGCGGUCGCUGUGGGAAAUGUAGUCUGUUACUCGACGGCGUGACGGUUUUCCGAUCAGGAGGCUGAUGCGUGCAUGCGUCCGUGAGUGGCAGCGUGUUUUCAAUGCUUUGAGGUGCGCCCGCUGAUCCAUCUACACUGUGCCAGACACCCCUCCGGCCGCCCUCCCCGCUCCGCACAGAUGUCCCCACACACACCUCACACACCAGCUCCAGCCCCCUGAGGAGGACAACCUUCACUGCUAUACAUCAGUCUCAGCCGCCGCGGCGAUGCGACAUCUGUGUGGAUCUCCGUAUGAGAACGAUCUGCGCUGGGCGAUGCGAUGC